This 300-nucleotide unclassified non-coding RNA is filed under the name uncultured Psathyrellaceae. RNAcentral describes it as "sequence contains ITS2". The stretch from base 1 to 52 matches the Rfam family "5.8S ribosomal RNA", at positions 103 to 154 of the family's 154-position model. Lineage: Eukaryota; Fungi; Basidiomycota; Agaricomycetes; Agaricales; Psathyrellaceae. The record is from RNAcentral.
AACGCACCUUGCGCUCCUUGGUAUUCCGAGGAGCAUGCCUGUUUGAGUGUCAUUAAAUUCUCAACCUCACCAGUUUUGUCAUGAGACUGUGUAAGGCUUGGAUUAUGGGAGUUUGUGCAGGCUGCCUCAGUGCGGUCUGCUCUCCUGAAAAGCAUUAGCGAGUUUUAACUGAGCUCCGUCUAUUGGUGUGAUAAUUAUCUACGCCGUGGAUAGAGCUUAGACUUGCUUCUAAACCGUCUGCAAGGACAAUGCCUUUGACAAUUUGACCUCAAAUCAGGUAGGACUACCCGCUGAACUUAA